Molecule: transfer RNA, 91 nt
Filed under: Daldinia loculata
Lineage: Eukaryota; Fungi; Ascomycota; Sordariomycetes; Xylariales; Hypoxylaceae
Also listed under: 7 other names
Description: tRNA-Pro
Rfam family: tRNA
About the family: Transfer RNA (tRNA) molecules are approximately 80 nucleotides in length. Their secondary structure includes four short double-helical elements and three loops (D, anti-codon, and T loops).
Source: RNAcentral
GGUUUGGUGGUCUAGUGGUAUGAUUCUCGCUUAGGGUACACCCUUUGCAAUAGCAUGCGAGAGGUCCCGGGUUCAAUCCCCGGCCAAACCC